UACAGAGGUCCCGAGCGUUGUUCGGAUUCACUGGGCGUAAAGGGUGCGCAGGUGGCAUGGUAAGUUUGAUGUGAAAGCUCAGGGCUUAACCCUGAAAUGGCAUUGAAUACUACUGUGCUGGAGGUUUGGAGGGGGGACUGGAAUUCUUGGUGUAGCAGUGAGAUGCGUAGAUAUCAAGAGGAACACCAGUGGCGAAGGCGAGUCCCCUGGACAACACCUGACACUGAGGCACGAAAGCUAGGGGAGCAAACAGG
RNAcentral lists this ribosomal RNA (254 nucleotides) under uncultured bacterium. Its description in RNAcentral is "partial 16S ribosomal RNA". It matches the Rfam family "Bacterial small subunit ribosomal RNA", at positions 524 to 776 of the family's 1533-position model. The record is from RNAcentral.